GAACGAAAAUCCGUUGGUUUCGACCGUGAGGGUUCGAUUCCCUCUAUCCCCAACGA
RNAcentral lists this transfer RNA (56 nucleotides) under Diplazium squamuligerum. RNAcentral's name for it is "partial tRNA-Leu". Lineage: Eukaryota; Viridiplantae; Streptophyta; Polypodiopsida; Polypodiales; Athyriaceae. The record is from RNAcentral.